CACCGCCCAGCCCCAAGCAGACGCCCACCGGCCUCCUCCCUGGGACUGCCCUGCACCCGGACCCACUGGGUCAGUCGUGUACAGUCUGGAAGAGACAGCACUCUCAGUGCGCCUCCCGGACUCCUGGCAUCCAGGAGCACCGUCUCCAGGGAGCCCACCAGGGCACAGCGGGAGCCAUCUCGGUCUCCCCACGCGAGGACCCACUAGUUUCGAGGUCCGAAAGGUAGAAGGCAGAGCCCUCCACUGGAAAAGGAGCAUUGUCUGGAGAAAUUGUUCCAGCUGGGGUUCUGCUGAGGUUGUCAGAGGGUGACACUGGGCUUGGAGUCUGGAGAGAACACCUUGAAUUUAUAGAAUUUCUCCUUUCCCUUUAAAAAGGUAAUGUUUUUCAAAAUUUGUAUCAUUGAAUGAACUUUGCAAAAGAAGUAGAAAACUCAAAACAGGAAGUGUAAAAUGGAAACUCACCCGUAACUGGGAUCCUGUCACUCAGAGAUAAUUUCUAUUGCGGCAUGUGUAAAGAAAAUUACCAGCCAGUAUCACUGAUGAGCGUAGAUGCAAAAAUACCAUUACAAAAUGUGUGUUUUAUAAAGACAGGACAUACUGUUUUCUGACCUGCCUUUUUCAUCUAACAGCGGCUGGAACAUUUUCAUGUAUCAUUAAACGAUGAAUAUUCUUCCAUAAAAUUUUUUUAUUUUUCCUGCUUGAAAACCUCCUGUGGCUCCUGGCAGCCUGGAAAUAGUCAGGAUUCACAGGAGGAAAAGGAUGAAGCCACACUCCUUGACUCAUGUUGUCCAGGUGUUACCUGGACACAUGGAGGCAGAGACCAUGGACCCCAUGAAAGGAGAGGGCAGUGGUUGGGUUCUGGGAAGCCAUUUUUGCCUCCAGGGCGAGGCGCAGAC
RNAcentral lists this long non-coding RNA (896 nucleotides) under Capra hircus (goat). RNAcentral's name for it is "lncRNA (ENSCHIG00000007025.1)". Lineage: Eukaryota; Metazoa; Chordata; Mammalia; Artiodactyla; Bovidae. The record is from RNAcentral.